GCCUGGGUGGCUCAGUCGGUCGAGCGUCUGACUUCGGCUCAGGUCAUGAUCUCACGGUUUGUGAGUUCGAGCCCCGCUUCGGGCU
Molecule: transfer RNA, 85 nt
Organism: Felis catus (domestic cat)
Lineage: Eukaryota; Metazoa; Chordata; Mammalia; Carnivora; Felidae
Rfam family: tRNA
About the family: Transfer RNA (tRNA) molecules are approximately 80 nucleotides in length.
Source: Rfam